GGCGGACGGGUGAGUAACACGUGGGCAACCUGCCCUGCAGAUGGGGAUAACUCCGGGAAACCGGGGCUAAUACCGAAUAAGCCAUUUUCUCACAUGAGGAAAUGCUGAAAGACGGUUUCGGCUGUCACUGCAGGAUGGGCCCGCGGCGCAUUAGCUAGUUGGUGGGAUAACGGCCCACCAAGGCGACGAUGCGUAGCCGACCUGAGAGGGUGAUCGGCCACACUGGGACUGAGACACGGCCCAGACUCCUACGGGAGGCAGCAGUAGGGAAUCUUCCACAAUGGACGAAAGUCUGAUGGAGCAACGCCGCGUGAGCGAAGAAGGUUUUCGGAUCGUAAAGCUCUGUUGUGAGGGAAGAACACGUGCGGGAGUAACUGCCCGCGCAUUGACGGUACCUCAUUAGAAAGCCACGGCUAACUACGUGCCAGCAGCCGCGGUAAUACGUAGGUGGCAAGCGUUGUCCGGAAUUAUUGGGCGUAAAGCGCGCGCAGGCGGUCCUUUAAGUCUGAUGUGAAAGCCCACGGCUCAACCGUGGAAGGUCAUUGGAAACUGGGGGACUUGAGUACAGAAGAGGAAAGCGGAAUUCCACGUGUAGCGGUGAAAUGCGUAGAGAUGUGGAGGAACACCAGUGGCGAAGGCGGCU
This 643-nucleotide ribosomal RNA is filed under the name uncultured bacterium. Its description in RNAcentral is "bacterial SSU rRNA". It matches the Rfam family "Bacterial small subunit ribosomal RNA", at positions 97 to 726 of the family's 1533-position model. The record is from RNAcentral.